RNAcentral lists this ribosomal RNA (389 nucleotides) under uncultured bacterium. Its description in RNAcentral is "partial 16S ribosomal RNA". It matches the Rfam family "Bacterial small subunit ribosomal RNA", at positions 338 to 724 of the family's 1533-position model. The record is from RNAcentral.
CCUACGGGUGGCAGCAGUGAGGAAUAUUGGUCAAUGGACGAGAGUCUGAACCAGCCAAGCCGCGUGAAGGAUGACUGUCCUAUGGGUUGUAAACUUCUUUUGUAUGGGAAUAAAAUCUUGCACGUGUGCGAUGAUGUAUGUACCAGAUGAAAAAGGAUCGGCUAACUCCGUGCCAGCAGCCGCGGUAAUACGGAGGAUUCGAGCGUUAUCCGGAUUUAUUGGGUUUAAAGGGUGCGUAGGCGGUUUGUUAAGUCAGUGGUGAAAGUUUGGGGCUCAACCGUAGUAUUGCAGUUGAAACUGGCAGUCUUGAGUACAGUAGAGGUAGGCGGAAUUCGUGGUGUAGCGGUGAAAUGCUUAGAUAUCACGAAGAACUCCGAUUGCGAAGGCAG